AGCGAACGCUGGCGGCAGGCCUAAUACAUGCAAGUCGAACGGAUCCUUCGGGAUUAGUGGCGGACGGGUGAGUAACACGUGGGAACGUGCCCUUUGGUUCGGAACAACUCAGGGAAACUUGAGCUAAUACCGGAUAAGCCCUUCGGGGGAAAGAUUUAUCGCCAUUGGAGCGGCCCGCGUCUGAUUAGCUAGUUGGUGGGGUAAAGGCCUACCAAGGCGACGAUCAGUAGCUGGUCUGAGAGGAUGAUCAGCCACACUGGGACUGAGACACGGCCCAGACUCCUACGGGAGGCAGCAGUAGGGAAUCUUGCGCAAUGGGCGAAAGCCUGACGCAGCCAUGCCGCGUGAAUGAUGAAGGUCUUAGGAUUGUAAAAUUCUUUCAGCGGGGACGAUAAUGACGGUACCG
This 406-nucleotide ribosomal RNA is filed under the name uncultured bacterium. RNAcentral describes it as "bacterial SSU rRNA". It matches the Rfam family "Bacterial small subunit ribosomal RNA", at positions 29 to 480 of the family's 1533-position model. The record is from RNAcentral.